UUGCAUCGAUAGGAUGCCUAGAUGAAUCGACCUCUAAUGAUGGAUUUCAGGCAACAUGGAGGAACAUAAUUAUUGGAAGAGUUGCAGUUGUCCAUUCCAA
Neomonachus schauinslandi (Hawaiian monk seal) is the source of this 100-nucleotide long non-coding RNA. RefSeq lists it as uncharacterized. Lineage: Eukaryota; Metazoa; Chordata; Mammalia; Carnivora; Phocidae. The record is from RefSeq and is a predicted model, not a curated record. The transcript has 3 exons.